AUCAGAGAAUUUAGCAGAGAUGCUUUAGUGCCUUUCGGGAACUCUGGGACAGGUGCUGCAUGGCUGUCGUCAGCUCGUGUUGUGAAAUGUUGGGUUAAGUCCCGNAACGAGCGCAACCCUUAUCCUUUGUUGCCAGCACGUAAUGGUGGGAACUCAAAGGAGACUGCCGGUGAUAAACCGGAGGAAGGUGGGGAUGACGUCAAGUCAUCAUGGCCCUUACGAGUAGGGCUACACACGUGCUACAAUGGCGCAUACAAAGAGAAGCGACCUCGCGAGAGCAAGCGGACCUCAUAAAGUGCGUCGUAGUCCGGAUUGGAGUCUGCAACUCGACUCCAUGAAGUCGGAAUCGCUAGUAAUCGUAAAUCAGAAUGUUACGGUGAAUACGUUCCCGGGCCUUGUACACACCGCCCGUCACACCAUGGGAGUGGGUUGCAAAAGAAGUAGAUAGCUUAACCUUCGGGAGGGCGUUUACCACUUUGUGAUUCAUGACUGGGGUGAAGUCGUAACAAGGUAGGCGUAGUGCU
This 524-nucleotide ribosomal RNA is filed under the name uncultured bacterium. RNAcentral's name for it is "bacterial SSU rRNA". It matches the Rfam family "Bacterial small subunit ribosomal RNA", at positions 987 to 1509 of the family's 1533-position model. The record is from RNAcentral.